This 79-nucleotide small RNA is filed under the name Flavobacterium urumqiense. RNAcentral describes it as "Flavo-1 RNA". It matches the Rfam family "Flavo-1 RNA". The record is from RNAcentral. Lineage: Bacteria; Pseudomonadati; Bacteroidota; Flavobacteriia; Flavobacteriales; Flavobacteriaceae.
GAUUAGCCCCGAUUAAAACGGCAUCCUUUUUCUUUUUUCUUUAAAAAAGAAAAAGAUACAGUGUAAAGCGGGAAAUAGC